RNAcentral lists this ribosomal RNA (265 nucleotides) under uncultured prokaryote. Its description in RNAcentral is "partial 16S ribosomal RNA". It matches the Rfam family "Bacterial small subunit ribosomal RNA", at positions 524 to 788 of the family's 1533-position model. The record is from RNAcentral.
UACGUAGGUGGCAAGCGUUAUCCGGAAUUAUUGGGCGUAAAGAGCGCGCAGGUGGUUGAUUAAGUCUGAUGUGAAAGCCCACGGCUUAACCGUGGAGGGUCAUUGGAAACUGGUCGACUUGAGUGCAGAAGAGGGAAGUGGAAUUCCAUGUGUAGCGGUGAAAUGCGUAGAGAUAUGGAGGAACACCAGUGGCGAAGGCGGCUUCCUGGUAUGUAACUGACACUGAGGCGCGAAAGCGUGGGGAGCAAACAGGAUUAGAUACCCG